UCUUCCCUCUGGCGGCGUGCUUAACACAUGCAAGUCGAACGGAAAGGCCCAAGCUUGCUUGGGUACUCGAGUGGCGAACGGGUGAGUAACACGUGGGUGAUCUGCCCUGCACUUCGGGAUAAGCCUGGGAAACUGGGUCUAAUACCGGAUAGGACCACAUUUUGGAUGGUGUGGUGGAAAGUUUUUCGGUGUGGGAUGAGCUCGCGGCCUAUCAGCUUGUUGGUGGGGUGAUGGCCUACCAAGGCGUCGACGGGUAGCCGGCCUGAGAGGGUGUACGGCCACAUUGGGACUGAGAUACGGCGCAGACUCCGACGGGAGGCAGCAGUGGGGAAUAUUGCACAAUGGGCGCAAGCCUGAUGCAGCGAAGCCGCGUGGGGGAUGACGGCCUUCGGGUUGUAAACUCCUUUCGCUAGGGACGAAGCGCUUUUGUGACGGUACCUGGAGAAGAAGCACCGGCUAACUACGUG
This 467-nucleotide ribosomal RNA is filed under the name uncultured bacterium. RNAcentral describes it as "partial 16S ribosomal RNA". It matches the Rfam family "Bacterial small subunit ribosomal RNA", at positions 36 to 507 of the family's 1533-position model. The record is from RNAcentral.